This 501-nucleotide ribosomal RNA is filed under the name uncultured bacterium. RNAcentral describes it as "bacterial SSU rRNA". It matches the Rfam family "Bacterial small subunit ribosomal RNA", at positions 28 to 535 of the family's 1533-position model. The record is from RNAcentral.
GACGAACGCUGGCGGCGUGCCUAACACAUGCAAGUCGAACGGGGUGGCGAAUAGAGCUUGCUCUAUUUGCCACCUAGUGGCGGACGGGUGAGUAACGCGUGAGCAACCUGCCUGUUAGAGGGGGAUAACGUUUGGAAACGAACGCUAAUACCGCAUAAAGUAUGUUUGUCGCAUGGCAGACAUACCAAAGGAGCAAUCCGCUAACAGAUGGGCUCGCGUCCGAUUAGCUAGUUGGUGGGGUAAUGGCCCACCAAGGCGACGAUCGGUAGCCGGACUGAGAGGUUGAACGGCCACAUUGGGACUGAGACACGGCCCAGACUCCUACGGGAGGCAGCAGUGGGGAAUAUUGCACAAUGGGGAACCCUGAUGCAGCGACGCCGCGUGAGGGAAGAAGGUCUUCGGAUUGUAAACCUCUGUCUUGGGGAAGAUAAUGACGGUACCCAAAGAGGAAGCCACGGCUAACUACGUGCCAGCAGCCGCGGUAAUAGUCACGUCCGCUGC